Paramuricea clavata is the source of this 1037-nucleotide non-coding RNA. The record is from the annotation of a GenBank genome assembly. Lineage: Eukaryota; Metazoa; Cnidaria; Anthozoa; Malacalcyonacea; Plexauridae.
ACGAAAAUUGCACAGCACGAAAAAAUUCUACAUGACAAAAUUCCACAUUAUUUGAUUAUUAUAUUAUUCAUUUUGAAAUCUAAAAUAUUUUCAUAAACCAUGCAGGUCAAACCUUUGGUUGCAAAAGUCACCCUGCCCGAUACUCCCCAGAAUGAAUGCCUAACGUUUCUAAAAUAUAUUUCUUUCUCUAAACACUUAUCACGUAGGCACAUGGACGGCCAUCAUAAGUUAAUUAGAUGGAGAUUUGUUAUUCAUGGGGGAAUAGACGGGUACAGCAGGUUGAUCGCUUUUCUGCGAUGCUGUACAAAUAAUAAAGAAAAGAUGGUCCUUAGAUUGUUGGAAGCUCCUGUUGACGAACAUGGUCAACCUUCACGAGUCCAAUCUGAUUUUGGCACAGAAAAUGUUGACGUUUCUCGGUAAAUGCUUCAUGUCAAAGGUAUAAAAUCGAGGAGGUAUAAUAGCAGGAAAAUCAGUACAAAACCAACGCAUUAAUUGAGCGUCUUUAAGGAGAAGGCAAAAGAGAUGUGGUUCGAAAAUUUCAAAAUAUUUUUUUAAUUUUUGGAGGAUAAUCACUUGUUGGAUCCGUUAAAUGAUCUCAACUUAUCCAGUCUUCACUACAAUUAUCGAUCACGGAUAAACAGAGCUCUUCGUGAGAUGGUAAGGGAUUGUGCACACCACCCAAUUUCUAUACAUAAUAGACCACCUCAUCAGCUUUGGCACUAUAGAAUGACUCGUUUAUUUCAUAUUGAUCUCCAAUCAGAGGAAGAAUACUUGGGACGAGCAUGAAAUUGACAAAGAGGCUCCAUAUCUAGACGUGGAAACAGAUAAUGAUGUGGUUAUUCUUGAACACGUAUCCACUUAAAUGAAAACCAACAAUCACAUUUGGAACAGACAAUUGAUCCUUUGUUAGAUGACAACAACGAAGGAAUAGACUUAUACCAACAAACUGUUAAUGCACUUACUAAUUUACUGUGAGGAUAACUACUUGUUUAGGGCAGCGUAAUUGAUUGUGAAUACAACUAAAAUAAAUUAAACCU